UGGGGAAUUUUGGACAAUGGGCGCAAGCCUGAUCCAGCCAUGCCGCGUGCGGGAAGAAGGCCUUCGGGUUGUAAACCGCUUUUGUCAGGGAAGAAAUCUUCUGAGUUAAUACCUCGGGAGGAUGACGGUACCUGAAGAAUAAGCACCGGCUAACUACGUGCCAGCAGCCGCGGUAAUACGUAGGGUGCAAGCGUUAAUCGGAAUUACUGGGCGUAAAGCGUGCGCAGGCGGUUUUGUAAGACAGAGGUGAAAUCCCCGGGCUCAACCUGGGAACUGCCUUUGUGACUGCAAGGCUUGAGUGCGGCAGAGGGGGAUGGAAUUCCGCGUGUAGCAGUGAAAUGCGUAGAUAUGCGGAGGAACACCGAUGGCGAAGGCAAUCCCCUGGGCCUGCACUGACGCUCAUGCACGAAAGCGUGGGGAGCAAAACAGGAUUAGAUACCCUGGUAGUCCACGCCCUAAACGAUGUCAAACUGGUUGUUGGGAAGGUUCCUUCUCAGUAACGUAGCUAACGCGUGAAAGUUGACCGCCUGGGGAGUACGGCCGCAAGGUUG
RNAcentral lists this ribosomal RNA (551 nucleotides) under uncultured bacterium. RNAcentral describes it as "partial 16S ribosomal RNA". It matches the Rfam family "Bacterial small subunit ribosomal RNA", at positions 355 to 896 of the family's 1533-position model. The record is from RNAcentral.